GAUGAACGCUGGCGGCGUGCCUAAUACAUGCAAGUCGAGCGAACGGACGAGAAGCUUGCUUCUCUGAUGUUAGCGGCGGACGGGUGAGUAACACGUGGAUAACCUACCUAUAAGACUGGGAUAACUUCGGGAAACCGGAGCUAAUAUCGGAUAAUAUUAUGAACCGCAUGGUUCAAAAGUGAAAGACGGUCUUGCUGUCACUUAUAGAUGGAUCCGCGCUGCAUUAGCUAGUUGGUAAGGUAAAGGCUUACCAAGGCAACGAUGCAUAGCCGACCUGAGAGGGUGAUCGGCCACACUUGAUCUGAGAUACGGUCCAGACUCCUACGGGAGGCAGCAGUAGGGAAUCUUCCGCAAUGGGCGAAAGCCUGACGGAGCAACGCCGCGUGAGUGAUGAAGGUCUUCGGUUCGUAAAACUCUGUUAUUAGGGAAGAACAUAUGUGUAAGUAACUGUGCACAUCUUGACGGUACCUAAUCAGAAAGCCACGGCUACCUACGU
Molecule: ribosomal RNA, 496 nt
Filed under: uncultured bacterium
Lineage: Bacteria
Description: partial 16S ribosomal RNA
Rfam family: Bacterial small subunit ribosomal RNA
Source: RNAcentral